RNAcentral lists this ribosomal RNA (812 nucleotides) under Halomonas denitrificans. RNAcentral's name for it is "bacterial SSU rRNA". It matches the Rfam family "Bacterial small subunit ribosomal RNA", at positions 113 to 921 of the family's 1533-position model. The record is from RNAcentral. Lineage: Bacteria; Pseudomonadati; Pseudomonadota; Gammaproteobacteria; Oceanospirillales; Halomonadaceae.
AUGCAUAGGAAUCUGCCCGGUAGUGGGGGAUAACCUGGGGAAACCCAGGCUAAUACCGCAUACGCCCUACGGGGGAAAGCAGGGGAUCUUCGGACCUUGCGCUAUCGGAUGAGCCUAUGUCGGAUUAGCUAGUUGGUGAGGUAACGGCUCACCAAGGCUGCGAUCCGUAGCUGGUCUGAGAGGAUGAUCAGCCACAUCGGGACUGAGACACGGCCCGAACUCCUACGGGAGGCAGCAGUGGGGAAUAUUGGACAAUGGGCGAAAGCCUGAUCCAGCCAUGCCGCGUGUGUGAAGAAGGCCUUCGGGUUGUAAAGCACUUUCAGUGAGGAAGAAAGCCUUGAGGUUAAUACCCUCGAGGGAGGACAUCACUCACAGAAGAAGCACCGGCUAACUCCGUGCCAGCAGCCGCGGUAAUACGGAGGGUGCGAGCGUUAAUCGGAAUUACUGGGCGUAAAGCGCGCGUAGGCGGCUUGAUAAGCCGGUUGUGAAAGCCCCGGGCUCAACCUGGGAACGGCAUCCGGAACUGUCAGGCUAGAGUGCAGGAGAGGAAGGUAGAAUUCCCGGUGUAGCGGUGAAAUGCGUAGAGAUCGGGAGGAAUACCAGUGGCGAAGGCGGCCUUCUGGACUGACACUGACGCUGAGGUGCGAAAGCGUGGGUAGCAAACAGGAUUAGAUACCCUGGUAGUCCACGCCGUAAACGAUGUCGACUAGCCGUUGGGCUCCUUGAGAGCUUUGUGGCGCAGUUAACGCGAUAAGUCGACCGCCUGGGGAGUACGGCCGCAAGGUUAAAACUCAGAUGAAUUGACGGGGGCC